GGUCCCAAGGGUUGGGCUGUUCGCCCAUUAAAGCGGUACGCGAGCUGGGUUCAGAACGUCGUGAGACAGUUCGGUCCCUAUCCUCUGCGCGCGUUGGAAAUUUGAGAAGGUCUGUCCUUAGUACGAGAGGACCGGGACGGACGAACCUCUGGUAUGUCAGUUGUACCGCCAGGUGCAUGGCUGAUUAGCUACGUUCGGGAUGGAUAACCGCUGAAAGCAUCUAAGCGGGAAGCCGGCUUCGAGAUGAGAUUUCCUCGCCCCUUUGAGGGUGUGAGGCCCCCAGCUAGAACACUGGGUUGAUAGGCUGGAUGUGGAAGCGAGGACUGAAGACUCGUGAAGCUGACCAGUACUAAUAGGCCGAUGACUUACACAC
This 373-nucleotide ribosomal RNA is filed under the name Micrococcus luteus. RNAcentral describes it as "partial 23S ribosomal RNA". It matches the Rfam family "Bacterial large subunit ribosomal RNA", at positions 2561 to 2925 of the family's 2925-position model. The record is from RNAcentral. Lineage: Bacteria; Bacillati; Actinomycetota; Actinomycetes; Micrococcales; Micrococcaceae.